ACACAUAAAAAGGCGUAUUUUUACAUUAAGUCGUAAAUUAUUUCAAGGCCACGUUCUGUAGCACUUAGGCCUACAGUCACCAAUUGUAAUUUUAAAAUAUGUAUACUGCUGGUCGCAUUUUGUAAUACCAUUUUCUCUUGCUGUCGAAAACUGUGACACUACUUGUCAUAUAUUUGAGCUACAAACCAAUCGGAAUUUUUAAUAACACUUUGUUGCAAUUUGUAGUAAUUCGACUCGGCGUAUAUUGUAAUGACACAUGUCUCGUUUUACACCAAUUUUUGCAGUAACUUGUAAAAUUGCCCACAAAUACUUUCCGUUGGUGUCAUCUUCAUGUCUUGUUUCGUUUUCUCUUCCAAUCCGUUAAUCAAAAACAAAGUUCUACGGGUUUUUUCCAGUCCGGUCCAUUGAUCAUGAUGAAAAAUGUUCAAUCAUCGUAUAAAUGGAAGGGGAGCCAAAUGUGACGAAAGACUAAUUAAAGAUUUUUUUACAAAGCGAAAAAAGCCUGUGGUUUAUUAAAUCAUGUUUGAAACCAUUUACUUUAUUACAAAUAGCGACGACGUGUUACAAAACGCGAAAUUAAUAUAUUAUUGCUCUUUUCAAUGACAGUACGAGUGUUACCUAGUAUGUUUUUGAAUUAUUAUUAUUAUCAUUAUUAUUAUUGUUGUUGUUAUUGUUAUUAUUACUAUUAUUAUUAUUAUCAUUAUUACUAUUAUUAUUUAACUGAGUAUUGCCUACUUUCCAUUGUAACCAGCUGCAAGCCAAGCCAGUCGAAGCUGCUCAGUUGUUAAAGCAAUUGAGUGAUAACAGCAUUGCGUCAGUUUCCAAAUUUGGUAGAAAGGGUUUCCAUAUAUGGUAACUGUGACAGUUACAGUAGCAAUUUGUCAAAAACCAGAUGGCGGACAUUUCUAUUGGCGGUCAGUCACAGGGUGUAGAUGAACAUGAAGUCGACAUUUCAACGCAAUUCUCCGACGAAAGUUCAUAUGUACAUUUACAAAACUACGCAUGUUAAACCAAAAACCCAUGGUGUGUUUGCAACUCGUUUGUAGAUCAGUCGGAUCAUAAGUGAAGCCAGACAGAAAAUCACUCUUCCGCCUGAAAGAGCUCAGUAUGGACUAACAAGUGACAUUUUCCUCUGAAUGCCUAUUGACGUUGUUAAAUGGAAAACGGCUACGGAGCUUCGUUUAUAGACCUGAUGGCUACGAUGGAAUGUAAAUGAAUCAUUAUGGCGAGCAAUGAACUACAUAACUAACAGAAAUCAACCGAGCAGAUAACGCAACGUGAUCAUCAGUUAACAUCCAAAUCACACAGCUGUAAGUCAAACACAAAGUAGGACCAGGCGUAACACUUCCACAACCCAAAGACAAGAGUUAUUAAGCUCACAAACGAACCCCCGUGACCGCGUCAAACUUUAAGAACACUAUUACGUGUUUACUUUCAGUGAUUUGCAUGUCUGUUCAUGUGCUCUCAAAUUGUUCUCCACACUGUCGAAGUACUGCUCAUGAAGUAAGUGUUUGAUUUCUUAGUUUAGUUUUGAGUCUUUGGACAAGCAGUUGACGCUAUAUAUAAUAACAUCAGGAAUUCUGUGCGUUUCUUAAUGCUUUAUCAAAGGGAUGGAAGAGUCCAAGGACUCCAAGGACCACAUAUAUAUACAAUGAUGAACAAUGAGGUUAAACGAAACCUUUGCACACAGUUUACUCCAGCGGAAAAAAUGUCAACUUUGUAGUAUAAGCUAAAACAGAAUAUCUUAAUAUAACAAGACAACUUCUAAAGAAAUGCACUUACAUUAUUAACAGGCGCUAGUGCUUGGCAAAGGUUCCAACGGCUCAAGAUAAUUGCUUGCUGAUAUGAAACAAAAACUUCCAAUUGUCUGCCGCACGACGACAAAACACUGUCAACUUAGCUUAAAAUAACUUUACUUUCAGCUUGAAUGACAAUUAGCAAAAUAAAUUAUGCACAAACCUGUUGCGGGACCAUGAAGAAAGCUGCCAACAAAUCUCUUUAACUAACUUUAAUUUUGACCGACAAUGGGUUAAUUUUGAUAUAUUUAAAUUCUAACUCGGUUCCGAAGCUAAUGGGAAUAAAACAAAAGAAAUCGAAUCGAAGAUCUACUGUAUGAGGGAUGAAUAAUUAAUUUCUUUUGUUUUAUUCCCCUGAACCUCCGAGCCAAGUUCAAAUUUUAAUAUAUCGAAAUUGCCUUGGCUCCCUUAGCAAGAAGAGUCGUUAGUACUGAUGUACAGCUUCACAAACUGAAGCAAGAUGAAUUAAACCCUGUUCAGUGAUUGGCUAACCGAGCGGGUGAGAUGGGGCUAUCUUCCACCAUUCGGGAUUUCGCACUGCCAGUUUCUCGCCAGAAAAAAAAAAAAAAUGAGCACAUGGAGCAAGCUUUUUUCGUUCAAGCUGCAUGCAUAUUAAUCUGCUUCUUCUUGCAUGUUUCUGGACCUCGAUUACGUUUGUCCCCUGAUAUAAAGACUAUAAACGAAAAACUUAAAAAUACUUUUCUAGCAUCCACUUUUCAGCCAUCUUGACCUCACGCUUGCUUAGUAGCCCUACUAAAUACUUGUUAAUCGAGAGUGAGGUCUUUACGGGAAAAUGUUUAACUGAGGUCUUGCUGUAUCCAACUCUCGCUUUCUUCUCGAAAUUUUAUUAAAACUCGUAAUCAAAUUGUUGCAGCUUCGGAAAAAAAA
Long non-coding RNA from Orbicella faveolata, 2684 nucleotides. NCBI's taxonomy places the organism in Eukaryota, Metazoa, Cnidaria, Anthozoa, Scleractinia, Merulinidae. The record is from RefSeq and is a predicted model, not a curated record.